Molecule: ribosomal RNA, 458 nt
Filed under: uncultured bacterium
Lineage: Bacteria
Description: partial 16S ribosomal RNA
Rfam family: Bacterial small subunit ribosomal RNA
Source: RNAcentral
CCUACGGGUGGCAGCAGUGGGGAAUAUUGCACAAUGGGGGAAACCCUGAUGCAGCGACGCCGCGUGAGUGAAGAAGUAUUUCGGUAUGUAAAGCUCUAUCAGCAGGGAAGAAAUAGCGACCUUUGGGUCGCCAGACGGUACCUGACUAAGAAGCCCCGGCUAACUACGCGCCAGCAGCCGCGGUAAUACGUAGGGGGCAAGCGUUAUCCGGAUUUACUGGGUGUAAAGGGAGCGUAGACGGCAGCACAAGUAUGAGGUGAAAUGCCGGGGCUGAACCCCGGAACUGCUUUGGAAACUGUGCAGCUAGAGUGCAGGAGAGGUAAGUGGAAUGCCUGGUGUAGCGGUGAAAUGCGUAGAUAUUAGGAGGAACACCAGUGGCGAAGGCGGCUUACUGGGCUGUAACUGACGUUGAGGCUCGAAAGCGUGGGGAGCAAACAGGAUUAGAUACCCCGGUAGUC